UUACACCGUCGAUUUAUGUACCUCAAAUGAAAAGUAUUGAGUGGAGGGUUUGAUUUCAUCAUACUCCAUCCGGAGACAGUUCACUACACAGUCACUAAGUCUUCUUGGUAGUGCUCCUCCUAUUAUUCCCGUGAAGCUUUUUUUGAUGGAGGGUCAAAUUCUUUUCCUAUAAACAAAACACCAUGCAGACCAAAAAAAUCGGACCAGUGCAAAAUUUUCUGGGAUCCCCCAUCACCUUGUUGAAUAAUCUCUUUGUUUGAGUUAUUUUGAAGUGACCAGAUUAAGAAUGGGGCUGAAUCAGGGUAACUUGUCAUUUUUGAAUUAAAACAGGCGUGAUCAUUGCAAGAGGAGAGGAAUCAUGAUUUAUUGGGGAAAAAUGUGGAUAAUUACAAGGAAUUGUCGAUAAUUUAGGAUGAAUGGGGAUCAAUAUACAUGUUGGAACAUGUUGCAAUGAACAGCGUUACAAAUUGAAAAUAUGAGGGUGAGUGCCAAUACGCUGUGAUAAUACACACAGCGUACUGACUCUCAGUCUCACAUUCUCAAUUUACAUGUUGUGUACAAGUCGAGAAAAGUCAGGGAAUUUGAUGAGAAAGACUGGACAUUUUUUCUAUAUUUUUUUCUUUUAACGGGUUCGUACAUUUUUACCUAUCUGGACAUGGUUGCAAAACACCAAUAUACAGAAUUAAAAAACUUAAUUGGGAUCUGGUGCUUCAUGCUUUCCCAAGUUUCUUUAGGAUUUUGUGCUUGCACAUUGGGACUCAAUGAGGAAGUAGUAAAUAUGAGUUUAUUUGGAUUUGUCUCUCUGUCUCAGCAAUGAACGAUGAUUUGAGCAGCAAUUGCUUUUCGCAAAAAAUCAUUUCGACUGGAAUUACAUAAUACCAAAAUUGUUCAUUUUAGUCUUGUUCUUGCUCGUUGUUAGCGUGGAAAGUCCAAGAAUUUUCUCUUCCGAACGUCUGUAGACACUAUGAUUUAGCAUAAUCAAAAGCUCCGCGUGAAUCUGGAUGAAUCGCUAACCUUGAGAAUUGUUGGGUUACCUUUAAAAGAACUCUAACAUUGUGUUCUCCAAUUUUAUAAAAGAGACUCAACACAUUUGAAUCAGAGGAGGGGGCCUUAUUCGUUGCAAAUUCAAGUAUCAAGAAGUUAAUGGAAUCUGUGUGCUCCCAGCAUAAUCAACAAGUUGUCCUUUCAGGAUAUUAGGAUUAUCUCUCUAAUAAUUCCCUCAGUUGUUAUGUAGUGUCAGUGAUCGUAGUUCUUCUAAACUUAGCAAAUUCAGUAACCUAAGUUUCUUGUCAUUUUGCCAGCUAGUGAGCUGUAUCUUAACUGUUACUAUUCCUGAGAAUAGCAGUACAACACAUGCUUUGUCUGUUCUGCAUCUAGGACUGUUCUAUGAUUGUUAACUUCAUGCGUAGUUCUAGUAAUAUCAACUGCAUUUUAUUUAUUAAGUAAAGUGUAAUUAAUUUCAGUUUUUGAUUAAAGUAUUGUUUUACUUUUGAUAUGUUUCCUUUUUUUGUAAAUACAUCAUGCAUCUUAUUAUUAAAUUUUCUUUUUUUAAAACGAUUCCUCUGUUUCUUCUUCAUCCUCUAUCUAAUUUUCAAAUCAGAUAAAUUUUACUGCAAGAUUGGCUCUCAAUUUUCU
This 1635-nucleotide long non-coding RNA is filed under the name Bemisia tabaci. Its description in RNAcentral is "lncRNA ENSSSA1UGG006806". Lineage: Eukaryota; Metazoa; Arthropoda; Insecta; Hemiptera; Aleyrodidae. The record is from RNAcentral.